CCUCAAAUCAACAAACAGCAAACACACAACAAAUACCAAACACCUUUUCGAGUAAAGCAGCUGGAAAAGGUGAAAGAGUUGUGAUUCGAUAUCGAGUGUGGCUUUUGUGACUCAAUUACAAUAAGUCUAUUAAACUUAUGUCUGCGGUUUGUCUAGACCAGAGACGGGAAAAGGCAGCCCGGUUGCCGAUCAGUCACAAUGUCUAGGUCCGGGCACUGGGGUUGAACAGAAGAGUCGAAGAGCAGAAGUGCAGACGAGCAGACGAGCGCGUGCCCCUUUUGACUUUCGACUGGUUCUUUGUGCCACCAUCUAACAACAGAGCCUGCCACAGUCAAAGGAUCAAGAAGAUGAUGAUGAUGAUUUGAUGAUGAUGAUGGUGCGAAGGAGUUCCAGCUGCCGGUAUGGACUAUGUCUCGAUUUCACUUUCGCUACGCCUCUGCCACAUACUAUACAUAUUUCAAAUGAAAACGUGGUCCUUGAUCGUUGCUCUUUUCCUUUUUCCCGUCUACCUCUCUCUGUCCCUCUCCCCUCAUCAUUUUUUUGUGGCAUCAUCGGCUGCGGUUUUGAUUACGUAUUUAUGGAGUGCACAAUGGACGGCAGGACGCCUGCAAAAGGAGUAAACAUUUUGAAGUAGCGCCGUUUCGAAAAUGCUUUAUAGGUUUGUCAGCGAUCGAAAUAUAUAAAUGUUCGACUGUCCGUCUAUCUCUCCACCUCCUUUAUGCGUUUUGUCAACAUAUCAUAUUACGCCCCCGUCCCAGGAUCACGAUGAGACUAUGCCCAUAAUCGCUAAUGACAAUACAAAUUGAGAGUGGAGAGCGAAGAGAGCUCUCUGCAUCGGCUUUGUUGGUUUUUCUGGGAAGCCUCAGACAGGCACUGACAGCCGGCGCAUCGUGCUUAAAAAUUUGUAAACAAUAUAUGUAUUUGUUUAGCAUUUAAGUGAAUUUUGAACGCCUGGAACGAGUUUCACAAUCGUCUGUUUUUUUUCGGGGGGUUGUUCGAGCUCGCCACCUUGAUCCAUCGAUUAAUAUUCGUGGAAAUGCAAAACAACGAAAAGACUGUGGCAUUGUAUGAUAUUAAGCGGUAAUUAAAGACAGCCUUGCAUUUUGUGUAAUCUCGAAAACGUCAAGUUGAUCAACAAAGAUCAUAAAAAAAUGCAGGGGCCCAAGAUUCCAAAUUUGCGUGCUAGACUUUUUUUUUUGUAAUUUUACUUCUCUUAUCAAAUCAUUCAGUAAUAUCUUAUUUUUUAAAAUUUUUCUGAGAAUAAACAGUUGUAAUCAAAAUUUUAAUCAAAUGUAUAUUUAGGAGUUUUCCAAAUAAUUAAUUACGUGAAACGGCGCCUACUCCGCGACAGAAUCAAACGAGGAAUGACAGUUGAGUCGGAACUCCUAAUUUAAUUUGUAUACAUAAGAACAUAUAAAUUAAAAUUGCCGUGAUUAAUGAUGAUUGUCUUGAGAGGGAGGGGUGCACUUGUAUCGGCUUCCAGGCUCACACAAAUCCCAAAUCAAACAAGACAACAGAUAGCAACAACAAGGAAGAUCAAACAUGCUAAAAGGCAUUACUAUGUAUUAAGGAACAACACUGAUAAACUGUCCAGCAGUAUAGCAAGUAUUAAGCAACCCUCUGGGUGCAGUGAGGGGCGCCACCCUCUGUCAGUUAGUCAAUAAGCGACGUCGUGCAACACGAUCCAUCAUCAACAUUCAAGUUGAAAGCUGUACAUAAAUAAACAGUGAAGAGCUACUACUAUUGGUGAAAUACGAUGCCUCGAUGACAACAGAAAGUAGACGUCACACAUCAUUGCUCCCUCCAAAGGUUGGAUCAGGGGACUACAGGAGGUAUCAUUCUGUUGCCAGAUGACUGACAGAUCAACGUCAGAGAGCAGCCCACAGCAUGAGAUGAGUUUUUAGCGCAGCUUGCGAUCGGCACGCGACAUUGGAAAAGCUGCCUCAUUGACUGCCACUGCUAUGCAGCAGGAAAUACUUACAACAUAUUUCAAUAUGCAACGCCACGGGAUGAGGUCAAAUUAUUAAAACUGAUGAUGAGGAUGCUGCAAAUGGUUUUCUCGCGAGCUUAUCAAUGUGUUUCCAUUAGGAUAUCAACCCCAAACGGAUGCCUCAUUCCACUUUCUUUUCGCCUUUGCUUCAGAACAGCUAAAGCAUUUCAAAUUCCCUACUCACCUCUCAUUCCAUAAAUUUUGAUAAUAUAAAACUCGAAACCA
Molecule: long non-coding RNA, 2215 nt
Organism: Drosophila sulfurigaster albostrigata
Lineage: Eukaryota; Metazoa; Arthropoda; Insecta; Diptera; Drosophilidae
Exons: 3
Source: RefSeq, a predicted model, not a curated record